Molecule: unclassified non-coding RNA, 730 nt
Filed under: Hevea brasiliensis (rubber tree)
Lineage: Eukaryota; Viridiplantae; Streptophyta; Magnoliopsida; Malpighiales; Euphorbiaceae
Source: RNAcentral
CUGCUCUAAGACAUUGUAGUAUUCUGCAAACUUUCUGUCUGCAGAAUAGAGAUCCUCUUGCAGAGCAGCUUCUUCCCUUUCAAUUUCCUCAAUUAUCAACUUAACCCUCUCUGGAAGCCGAGCAGUUGAAUUUUGGCUACCAGAUGAUGAGUCAAUAUCAUCAACAAAAGCAUCUGCUAACUUGUCACAUUUAUCCUUUAAACGAGCCUCAAUCUCAUGGGAAAGAGACAUCUGGUACUCAGCAGUGUCCAUUAUUAAUGGCAUUUGCUGGAGCUGAGUUUGCCAUAAAUAAGUAGGUGUUAUACCAAGAAAACGAUUGGGAACACCACCAACUCCAGGUUCAGCUGAAUCAGGAGCACCAAGAGAAAGGGCAUUAUUUGUUGCGCCUGCAGUGCUGUUUGCAGAACUAUUUGCAUAAUUUAGUGAAUUAGAGCUUGAGCUGAUAGUUACACUGGUACUUGUACUAUCAAGGGAGCUUCGUGACAUUAUACUCCAUUUUUCAAUUUCCUCCUCAUGGAUUUCACCAUCCUUUGAUAUAAGAGGAAGUCUCAAUUUCUGAGCUGCUUCAGCAACAACUAAACGAUGCUCUAGAAUCUCAUAAACCUGAGAAGAGUUUUUCAAGCUAAGUUGUGGGUAUAACCCCUGGAUAUCUCGAAUGCCUCCAAGAUUAGCCACCGAAACAGCUUGCUGAUACUCUUCCACCAUAGCAAUCGCUUCGCAGUAAAUAGCC